This 72-nucleotide transfer RNA is filed under the name Planktothrix mougeotii LEGE 06226. RNAcentral describes it as "tRNA-Gly". It matches the Rfam family "tRNA". From Rfam's summary of the family: Transfer RNA (tRNA) molecules are approximately 80 nucleotides in length. Their secondary structure includes four short double-helical elements and three loops (D, anti-codon, and T loops). RNAcentral also lists the same sequence under 2 other names. The record is from RNAcentral. Lineage: Bacteria; Bacillati; Cyanobacteriota; Cyanophyceae; Oscillatoriales; Microcoleaceae.
GCGGACGUAAUUCAGUGGUAGAAUGUCACCUUCCCAAGGUGAACGUCGUGGGUUCGAGUCCCAUCGUCCGCU